UUCUUAGAAAGAGAACGCAAAAUCUUGUUUACGAGUUCAAAAUCCAAAAAACAUUUUCCAAGAGCUCUUAAACUAUUGACGACAUCCGUGAAACGGGUGUACAUGUCGCCUAUAGUCUCGCUUGGUUGCAUUCGAAAGAGCUCAAAAUCAUGCAAUAAAAAGUUAACUUUCGAGUCUUUGACUCUACUAGUUCCCUCGUGCGUGAUUUCAAGUGUUCGCCAAAUGUCAAAAGCCGUUUCGCACAUAGAAAUCCGAUUGAACUCAUUUUUGUCCAAAG
RNAcentral lists this long non-coding RNA (277 nucleotides) under Musa acuminata (dwarf banana). Its description in RNAcentral is "long non-coding RNA (MACU_LNC011262)". Lineage: Eukaryota; Viridiplantae; Streptophyta; Magnoliopsida; Zingiberales; Musaceae. The record is from RNAcentral.